Molecule: small RNA, 1041 nt
Filed under: Histoplasma ohiense
Lineage: Eukaryota; Fungi; Ascomycota; Eurotiomycetes; Onygenales; Ajellomycetaceae
Description: hypothetical lncRNA
Source: RNAcentral
AUACAGCGGGCGAGUUGGGCCGUUUUGACUCGAGAGGAAGCAAAGUUAGUUUGGCUGGCAGAUAGAUGUUCCUCGGCUCGAUGGAGCAAAGUGAGUGACCCUGACAGCCAUACUCCGUACAAGGAACCGGGUAGUUCUUCUGCAUACUGCCAAUUUCCCCCCAACGCCCAUGGCCGCAUCUCUACGACAUCCACUCCGUCGACACAAAUUCGCCAUCCACAUGGCCCAUGGGCCGUUCGUCCUUGUCGCGAUCCCCAGGAAAUCACCGAGUGCCGAGGCUGUUUGGAGCGAGGUCACAUGAGGCAGACGACAUGGCAAACAAAAAUUCUAUCAGACAAUUAUCGGGAAUCAGGCUAUGGACAGUGUGACAGCGCUAAGCACUAGGAACUCCUCCGAUAACGCCCCUGGUCCCGGGCCACAGGGUGAUGCCCCGCUAGCUGUAUCAGAUGAAAAGUCCUCCUGAUCGCUGUUUCCCACAGCCAAGGAUCUAGAUAGGUUGGAAGAAAAUCAGACGCCUUAGCCAGUCAGAUUUAAAACACCUAUACAACCAAUCAGGUAACAACAACCACUGCUUGAUCCAAUCUCAAAGGCAAAAUAAACACAAAAAACCUCACAAGACAAAGAGUAAGGAACAGAAGCCGAAGAUAAGAGGGAGAAAGAAAAAUGAACAAUCAAGAAAAAGAGAAACAAAAGCACACACAAUAGAAUACUACAGACGAAGAAGAGGAAGAGUGUCAAAGAAAUAAUGAUAUGCUACAAAUCACCUAGCACCUGACCUCACGAGUCACGACACAGGCUCUACAGCAGUAGAUCCUCUUCCCCCUUCUCCCCCUUCCAUGCCCAUGCCCACUCCCACUCCCACUCCCACUCCCACGCCCGUGCCCAACCCCCCAACCUUCGUCCCAUUCCGCAACUCCACUCCACCCCUUCCCUUCAACCCAUCCGGCGUACAGAUCCUCCCGGACCGCAUCAUGUUCCUCAGCCGCUUCCUUCUUGCUUCGCCACCGCGCUCCUCCCCCUUCGAACCCCCUUCAUCCACCC